ACAGUAGAUAGACAACCGAAACCGAUCAUGUAACACGUAAUUCGGUACAUUGUAUCAUUACUCUCGUCAAGGCUUCAUUCGAGUUGUAGCAACCCAUUUGUUGGUGACGGUCAAGAUCUAAAUCUGUGCAAUGAAUUGCAUCUUUGCUAAGCGUAUUUUGCGAACAAACAUGAGAUAAGACAGUAGUGAAAGAGAAGCGGAGUGAGCGAAGACGAAAUAAUGCUCAGAUCUUUGAUAACAUUUGGUUUGGGCGUGUACACCGGUUUGUACAUAAGUCAAAAUUACGAGGUAAUGCCUUAAAGGAAAGGAGAGGGGGAGAAGACUGAAUUGCAGAGCAAACAUUUCUUGCCAACAGAAAGUUCACCUGCAGCCCAGGUCCUCCAAACACUUAGGAGAUUAUAUACAUAGAUGUAUUAACAGUUAUCUUUUAGUUGUGUGUUUUAAUAUUAUAUACAAAUUAAGGAUAAAUAUACACAGAAUUUUUACACUUU
Long non-coding RNA from Schistocerca nitens (vagrant locust), 491 nucleotides. RefSeq lists it as uncharacterized. The transcript is spliced from 3 exons. NCBI's taxonomy places the organism in Eukaryota, Metazoa, Arthropoda, Insecta, Orthoptera, Acrididae. The record is from RefSeq and is a predicted model, not a curated record.